This is a non-coding RNA of Paramuricea clavata, 1518 nucleotides long. Lineage: Eukaryota; Metazoa; Cnidaria; Anthozoa; Malacalcyonacea; Plexauridae. The record is from the annotation of a GenBank genome assembly.
CAUAAAACUAGUAUUCGUUUUACAAGUGCUGACAUCUUGUAUUUUUGUUGCCAGCAUACCUAUUACAGCCAACUUACAGACAAGGGAAAGCUGCUUAAAAUUACUACAUGGUGAGUAUGAUUAUAGAGAUUCCUUAUAGGUAGAUUUUACCCUAGAAUAUUGACUUAGAUGAUUACUCAUUAGAGUGAGUCACUGUGAGUGGAAGUCAAAGCUUUCCAUUCUGCACUCAAAAGCACAGUAUCAAAUGGGUCAUUCCAGAAAACAUCCAUACCGCCCCCACAGAGAAAAUAGGAAGUUAACCCCCUACCCCCUUCGGAUGUCCUAAUACAUUUACUAUUAUCAGAAACAAUUUUUUCUCCCCUCCCCUUCCGGACGGCAGAAAUUUCCUCUGUGGGGGGAGUAUGGAUCUUUUCUGGAACGACCCAAUAUGAAUACUGGGUUGAUGCCAAAUUAUUGUCUUCUGUCUAUCAAGACUCGAGUGGAGAGUGCUAAUGUAUUGAUGGUCAUUUAUAAGACAAAUCAUAAAUUAAUCUAGCUUUCUUUGUAUUACAUGCACAUUGGCUUUUUAUCACAUUUCUGGUAGCCAAUGCUGAAUGAACAAAAUCCAUGGAUUGAGUUGCAUUGCAUCUUGAUACACCCCGCUUUAUUACUUUACCCUGUCUAAUGCCAGACGAUUUUACUUGUCAAGGGGAACACACUGGUACUUAAUGGAUUAAAGACAAUAAAAUAGGGACGUAGGCACAUUAACCCAUUAAUCACCAGCACUCCCACUCACAAAUAUGUCUGGCAAUUGACAUUAGACAGGAAUACAAUAAAGUAGGAGUGCAAUCCAACUUCAUGGGUUAACAUUUUCCUGUGUGACCAUGAUUUCUGGGUAGUGAUGCACCAACUAAAUUGAAAUGUCAGUAAUUUGAUGUCAUCUUUGAAUUUUGUGUAAUGACAUGGAAUAUCGGUGUCAGUAUCUGAAAAAUAUCAGUCUUUCAGUAUCGGUUAUCGGAAUAUCAGUGAACCUUACACGACUAUUUCUGGGUUAGCAUGUUACUAGCUAUAAUUUGGUCUAAGGUUGGAGCCAUAGUCAUAGUGAAUCAAAUUUUUCCUAUGAAAACAAAUAUUAAUUAAAUAAUCUAUCUGUAAUUAUUCAUUAUGUAGGAUGGAGUUUACAAUGCGAUAAAGAAUCUUUGAACAUGGUAGAUGCUUACUAAAAUGCAAGGGUGAUGUUGUCGGUACUGUACAGUAUUUGUGAUCUAAUAUGCUACUGGCUCAUUCCUGAUUCCAGAAAACAUUCAUGGUUUUACCUCAGUUUACUUGUUUAACCCAUUAUGUGACAGCACUGGCAAGUAAAACAAUAAGACAUUAUGAUAUUCAUAUAUACAGUAAAUGUGUUGCUGUGCAUGCAUAUUUUACACAUAAUUUUUUGUAGUGACUAGUGGUGGGUAUUGUCACACCAAAGUGCCCAGCAUCUUGUAAAUAUUUUAAUGUAAUGUUUAACUUCAUGUAAAUACACCUUUUUAAACUUGC